Molecule: unclassified non-coding RNA, 344 nt
Filed under: soil metagenome
Description: partial contains 5.8S ribosomal RNA, internal transcribed spacer 2, and large subunit ribosomal RNA
Rfam family: 5.8S ribosomal RNA (bases 1-119)
Source: RNAcentral
GAUGAAGAACGCAGUGAAAUGCGAUACGUAAUGUGAAUUGCAAAUUCAGUGAAUCAUCGAGUCUUUGAACGCACAUUGCGCCCCCUGGUAUUCCGGGGGGCAUGCCUGUCCGAGCGUCAUUACUGCCCUCAAGCCCGGCUUGUGUGUUGGGCCCCGUCCUCCGAUCCCGGGGGACGGGCCCGAAAGGCAGCGGCGGCACCGCGUCCGGUCCUCGAGCGUAUGGGGCUUUGUCACCCGCUCUGUAGGCCCGGCCGGCGCUUGCCGAUCAACCCCAAUUUUUUAUAGGUUGACCUCGGAUCAGGUAGGGAUACCCGCUGAACUUAAGCAUAUCAAUAAGCGGAGGA